Molecule: small nuclear RNA, 196 nt
Organism: Nicotiana attenuata
Lineage: Eukaryota; Viridiplantae; Streptophyta; Magnoliopsida; Solanales; Solanaceae
Rfam family: U2 spliceosomal RNA
About the family: U2 is a small nuclear RNA (snRNA) component of the spliceosome (involved in pre-mRNA splicing).
Source: Rfam
AUACCUUUCUCGGCCUUUUGGCUAAGAUCAAGUGUAGUAUCUGUUCUUAUCAGUUUAAUAUCUGAUAUGUGGGCCAUCGGCUCACACGAUAUUAACUUAAUUUCUUAAGGGGAAGAGUCCAUUAAGUUAGCUUGCUGCCUAGGCUCUUGAGCGUCGCCCAUGCGUUGCACUACUGCACGGGCUUGGCGCACCCCAC